Cebus imitator (Panamanian white-faced capuchin) is the source of this 2353-nucleotide long non-coding RNA. RefSeq lists it as uncharacterized. Lineage: Eukaryota; Metazoa; Chordata; Mammalia; Primates; Cebidae. The record is from RefSeq and is a predicted model, not a curated record. The transcript is spliced from 3 exons.
CUCUGGCUGGGAGAUUAAGGGCAAGAUUCAUUACCUCAAAUUGUUUUAAAAACCAGCUGGUAAUUGACUGUGAUUUAAAAUAUUUAAAUCAAUAAAUGAAAGGUUAGGUAAAGGAAACUAGUUAAAAAGUGAAAGGUUAGGGAAAGAGAACUAAAUUCCAGGAAAAGACAAGGCCCACAGCAAAAACUAACACAGACUGGAAGGCACAGUCCCCUCCCAGUAAACUUAAUUUCAUCCAGAAAGACAAGCUCUCCACCCUCCGGGGUUAUGCCCUUCUUCCAGCACACAUGUUUUGACUUCCAAAUCCAGCCAGGCAGGCUCCCAACCUCCCUCCCCCUCAAAAUUGAUCUCCAGGCCCCGGCUCACCCCCUCUGAUCUGUUCCCCCAAUCAUCCUUAAUAACAGUGCUCUGGGCCUCCUACUAGGAGGUCCUCCAAGAGCCAGGCCAGUGGCUGUCAGGUCAAGAGCCAAGCGUGAGGGCCCCAUUAACAGGAGACUCCCAGAAGACCAAGCAGCAGUCAUCUGGCUGGAAAACCCAGCAAGCAAGUUAAAAAGAAAAAAAAAUCAGGAUAUACACGUGGUGGAUCAUAGAAAAAAAGAAGAAAAGCAAGCAAAAACUAUACAAAGCAAAACUCCACUAUUUAAAUAACAGCCACAGAAUAAGAGACUUUCCCUUCUUUCAUUCUGAUUUACAAUUCAAAGGCAUAAGAACUUCACCCCUCCUGGUCUCAUACUUUUAAAUGUAACCUAAGGAUAACUGCUUUUCAGACUUUGAUCAUGUCAUGCCUGACCCUUCAGGAAAGAAAGUUGUGUUAAGACACAGAAGUGCUUUAGUGGAAAACAGCCCAUGAUGAGGGAAAUUCACCAUUUUGCACUUUUUCAAUCUUUAAAUAAAAAGGAAACUGAUAAAAAUGGAAAGAUACCCCUAGGCCUUUCCUACUGCGGAUAACGGUAACAAAACAGCAUUAUCCGAUCUAAACUCAGCUGUGCCUCAAACACUAUCAUAAGUGCUGGAAGCGUUAAAGGUACAAGCAACAUUAGCCUAGAAAUGCCUUCGGUAGCCAGACGUGAAUUAAAAGGCUCCUCAGAUGCCGGCGAAAUGUCCUACACGAGUAAGGAAAGGAAAGAGAACUGAAUAUAGUUAAGUGGACACUGAUCGGAGAGGAAGCAGCACGGGUUCCAGACACCUAACGGGCAGCCUUGGGGAUGCAGUAAAGGCCGACCCUUUCCUUCCCUUCCCUUGAGUGGCCGGACGCCUCACCCAGGAGACGACUCAGGGAACUCAACAACGUCUCGGGAGCAACGGCCCGGCGGAAAAGGAAACGGAGGUCCAGGAAAGGGAUGUGAUUUUCCAAAGACACACCUGUGAAAGGUAAUGAUUUCAUUCAACUGGUCCUAAGUGCCAGGUGCACUAAGAUUGUCUGCUAUUUUCACAAUAACCCCAAAACAUCCGUGUUGAACCAUGAAAGGACCUCAGGAAUGAAAGCCACACACAGCAAAGCAACAAGAUAAAAGAGGCAUGAGUUCCUAAUGCAAGAGGCACUGAACAAAUCAAUACACACUGCCUUCCAGACCUCUGCAUGAAAGAAAAAAAACUGCUGUCCUGUGUAAGACACUUUUGUGUUUUCUAUUGUAUGGGGUCAAACCUAAUCAUAACAGAUAUAUUACACUUUACCUUAUAGAAUUCUUAAACAGCAACCUUCUACAGUGAUGCAAAAACAGGCCCAAAGAGUAAAAAUUAGUUCAAAGUUAUCCAGCCAAGUAGCCAGGGUGAGAUUCUGACCUGAGUUUGUCUGAAACCAAUUUUCAUUAUCUUUUUCAGUUAUGAUACACUGCCUGUUAUGAACGAUUGAAUUCUUUUUUUUCCUUUUACUUCCAUUUGAUUCAUUCCAGGGAGUGACACAUUUUUUCUGUAAAGGACAAAUAUUAAAUAUUUUUAGACUUGUGAGCAAUACAGUAUCUGUUGCAACUACUCAACUUUGUAAUGUAAAAGCAGCCACAGACAAUAGUAAAUGAGUAGGUAUGACUAUGUUUCAAUAAAACUUUACUUAUAAAAGCAAGCAAUGAACAGUGUAGCCCGUGAACCUUAGUCUGUCAACUCCUAAUGAAACUGGAAAAGUUCCCUUAUCUCCCUCACUUGGCGUGCGCAAUGGGGGUGUGACGCACUUAUUCAGGGCCCGGCUGGCUGCACAAACCUCUAGGAGAGCAUACAGCCAGGUAGGCUGUGGAGUUCCAAUCCCGCAUUCACUCCAUCUAGGGGUGAAUGUUUACAGCUGAAGCCCCUGUGGGUAUGUGUUAUAGGGUGCUCUUUUAGUUUAGCUGUCUGUAGGUGGCUUGUGUUAGUCACCUCAAAC